AGCGAACGCUGGCGGCAGGCCUAACACAUGCAAGUCGAACGAAGUCUUCGGACUUAGUGGCGGACGGGUGAGUAACACGUGGGAACGUGCCUUUAGGUUCGGAAUAACUCAGGGAAACUUGUGCUAAUACCGAAUGUGCCCUUCGGGGGAAAGAUUUACCGCCUUUAGAGCGGCCCGCGUCUGAUUAGCUAGUUGGUGAGGUAAAGGCUCACCAAGGCGACGAUCAGUAGCUGGUCUGAGAGGAUGAUCAGCCACAUUGGGACUGAGACACGGCCCAAACUCCUACGGGAGGCAGCAGUGGGGAAUCUUGCGCAAUGGGCGAAAGCCUGACGCAGCCAUACCGCGUGAAUGAUGAAGGUCUUAGGAUUGUAAAAUUCUUUCACCGGGGACGAUAAUGGCGGUACCCGGAGAAGAAGCCCCGGCUAACUACGUGCCAGCCGCCGCCGUAA
Molecule: ribosomal RNA, 449 nt
Filed under: uncultured bacterium
Lineage: Bacteria
Description: partial 16S ribosomal RNA
Rfam family: Bacterial small subunit ribosomal RNA
Source: RNAcentral